UACGAAGGGGGCUAGCGUUGCUCGGAAUUACUGGGCGUAAAGGGCGCGUAGGCGGAUAUUUAAGUUGGGGGUGAAAUCCCGGGGCUCAACCUCGGAAUUGCCUUCAAAACUGGAUAUCUUGAGUUCGGGAGAGGUGAGUGGAACUCCGAGUGUAGAGGUGAAAUUCGUAGAUAUUCGGAAGAACACCAGUGGCGAAGGCGACUCUUUGGCCUGUAACUGACGCUGAGGCGCGAAAGCGUGGGGAGCAAACAGG
This 253-nucleotide ribosomal RNA is filed under the name uncultured bacterium. Its description in RNAcentral is "partial 16S ribosomal RNA". It matches the Rfam family "Bacterial small subunit ribosomal RNA", at positions 524 to 776 of the family's 1533-position model. The record is from RNAcentral.